This 119-nucleotide ribosomal RNA is filed under the name Melitaea cinxia (Glanville fritillary). Lineage: Eukaryota; Metazoa; Arthropoda; Insecta; Lepidoptera; Nymphalidae. The record is from RNAcentral.
UUAAACGUCCAUACCACGUUGAAUACACCGGUUCUCAUCCAAUCACCAAAGUUAAGCAAUGCCAGGCACGGUCCGUACUUGGAUGGGUUACCGCCUGGGAAUACCGCGUUACGUUGGUU